GUCAAGGUGCCAGAGUGGUUAAUGGGCUGCCCUGCUAUUAGAACUUCUAAUACCAGCUAAGGCAGUGGCUUCGGUCGCGCAGGUUCGAAUCCUGUCCUUGACG
RNAcentral lists this transfer RNA (103 nucleotides) under Colletotrichum chlorophyti. It matches the Rfam family "tRNA". From Rfam's summary of the family: Transfer RNA (tRNA) molecules are approximately 80 nucleotides in length. Lineage: Eukaryota; Fungi; Ascomycota; Sordariomycetes; Glomerellales; Glomerellaceae. The record is from Rfam by way of RNAcentral.